GCCAGGGAGAGGAAAACGCUAACGCCGUGGCUACGAGACGUGGCCCUCUGCAGAAACACCUCCUGCUCCAUCCCGUCCUGCUGGAGAAGCUGGGGGCCGGGUGUACCCCAUGGCGAGGGGCCCCCCCCCCGGGUGCGCGUCCCCAGCGCGGGGCGCAAGGCGGGGGCCGGGGCGCACGGCGCUGCUCGGGGUGAGCGGAGCAGCUGUGUUUACUUUCCAUCCGCUGGAGGGAACAACAGGGGAUUUUUUUUUGGGUUUUGUUUUGCUUUAUUCCAUUUCAUUUUUCUUUUUUUUUUCUUUUUUUUUUUUUUUCGAGGCUUUGCGUGUCCUUCACCAGCCAGAAACCGUCACAUAAACAUCCGGCCGCUCCGCCAGGCGCGGCGAGGGAGGACGCGUCCUGCCUCCCCCCUCCGGCCUCCCCCUCCGGGUCCGGGUGGCACCGGAGGGAUCCCCCUGGGCUGGGCAGGGUUGGCACGCUCGGAUAAUGCCCCCAGGGUCCCCGGCACGAGGGACGUGGGGGACAGAGGCUGUGCGCUGGUGGCGGCCGGCUUGGAGGAACGCAGUCCGGAGCUUCGGAGAGAUUUCGGAGCUCGUGCUGUGCCGGGGCAGGAGGCGCGGGGAGGCCCUGAGCACCUCUGCCAAGCCUUAAUCAGCAGGGAAACGGAGCCAUACCUGGGUGGGACCGAUGCUAACGGCUGCCGUGGGUGUCCAAGGGGCUCCGGGGACUUGGGACAAAGCCACGGCUUGGGGACACAGCAGCCUGAGGCUGAGGGGGACUCGGGACCUGCGGCUGGCCCCGAGCACCGUGCCCUGCAGCGCGCAGGAGAGGAAGCAGCGUGCUUCGAAGCAAACCUUCCCCUCCGAGCUCCUGAGACGCUCACCACCAGCAUUUUGGCCAAGGGGCUGCAUCCAGGCAGAGCAUCCUCGGGUUUGGGGCAGGUGGGAGCAUCCCGGAGGGAUCCCUGCGGGGCCGUGCCUGCCGGGAGAGCAGCCCCAGCGCCCGGCCGAGGCCUGGCAGCGGCGGAGGAUUUGCUUUGUUUACUCUGCAACUUUGGCUAUGGCUGGAGUUUGUUAAGGGGUCAGGCUGAUUGGGCUGUUUUCCUGUACUUUACAAUUUCCUAUGUGGUGCUUUAAUAGACGUUAGGGCGCCUACAGCUACAGAAAGGCACUUUAUUUUAUUUUGGAAAUGGAGGGAAAUAAAGAAAUAAAUGCACCCA
Molecule: long non-coding RNA, 1217 nt
Filed under: Anas platyrhynchos platyrhynchos (common mallard)
Lineage: Eukaryota; Metazoa; Chordata; Aves; Anseriformes; Anatidae
Description: lncRNA (ENSAPLG00000017082.1)
Source: RNAcentral